Long non-coding RNA from Meleagris gallopavo (turkey), 2269 nucleotides. The record is from Ensembl. Lineage: Eukaryota; Metazoa; Chordata; Aves; Galliformes; Phasianidae.
AUGGCCACAUGCUUUAGCACUGGAGUUUUUCCACUCUUUUUAAAGCUGCCACCCCAGGGCAGGGCUGCACUUCCUGAGAGGAUUUCAGCACUUUUGAUCCAAAAUUUUGGCUUUUUUUUUUGGACAACCAGCAAUACCAAAAUUUUUCUGGGUGCAAUCCAAGCUGGAAAGAUGGGAUACUUCUCCCUGUGUUCCACAAUCCUGUCCGCCACUGUCACUGCAAUAGGCAACAUCAGAUCUGUUGUGUUCCUAGGAAAAGCACACAGAAUUCAUCCAGCUCAAUACAUCUGGUAUUUCCUCUGUGCGAAAGUAGAGCAAGGCAAAAUGACCAUCAGCCUCUUCAGCUGGGUUUUCAAGGAGGGGCGGAGCAGUGCUGCAUGGUCCACAUCAGGCUCCCAAAGGGGCAGAGCAAUCUCUUUAAUGCAUUGACAGUGAGAAAAGAGUUGAUACUACAUCACAUCUAAACAGCUUGUAUUCAUGCGUACUUUUGUGUUGGGUGAGUCCUAUGGAAAAUUGCACCUAUGAAAGCAGGCUAAAACUGCUUCAAAUCUGACUACUUUUCCUAAUGGAAGAUUUUUGUAAAUACAUAAGCGACCUUGUCAUUGCCAUGGAACUUCUCUUCAGAUGGCUUCCUCAUUUUUCUCCUAUAAAUUGAUCAUUCCAGGGGAUGGGAAGCAGUUACACGUAGAUUUAAAUCCCAGGUUGAAUGGAAAGAGCUAUUUUAUGGCCUGCAAGGGUAUGUGGUAUCACUCAAAAAUCAGCAGUUUCAGUAAAUUUGUUGGUGGCUUCAGCAAGUUUCUGAUGAGGAUCAGAAUCCUGAUCAACCAUCUCUCUUUGUAAAAUGAAAUUUUAGCAACAAGGAGAAAGGAGAAUGGUUUAGAUUAGCAUCUCCUUGGCAACAACUUCUUUCAGGACCCAUCUGCCUUUAUGAAGCUCCUUUCAGCUUGCCCUCCCCACAUUUCUAGAGAGGUCAGCAGCUGGGUAACUGUUCCUUCACAUGUAUUUCUAUUUUGUGACUCCUUUAGACCUUUUGGAGGUGAUCUAAGAGGGAGAAAGAGGAUGAGUCAUAACCUGGGUUUGUGAAACCUAUGGAUUAUGACGCAGUCAGGACCACAGGUAUGAUAAGAACAGCGAAAGAAAUGACAGCUGUGGUAUUCCUGAAGAUGACUGGUCUUUACUGAGGGAAGAUUAUUAGAGAGAAAUAAAAAUGCAUUAUUGAUAUAAGCAUGGUGAAAAAAAUGUGGUAUAUCUGAAAGCAAUAUAAAGAAUAUAAAGCAUCUUUGAGAAGGAAGGUUUUAUGACUCGUUGCACUAUUGCAAUGAGAAUAUAAACAGUGGAGAACACUGACUGAGAUAAGGAAGGUACAUAACAUAAAGCAAAAAUCGCCGUGUAUGUCAUGUGACAGAUGUGAUUACGCUCCCCAGGGGCUCCCAACACAUCGGUGAGUCAACACUGAUAUUAAAGGUCAGAAAUGGUGGGCACAAAUCACAAAAGGGAAUAAAGAGAUCUCCACGCGUGAAGUACUUUAAUGAGGUGAAACUUCCUGUCACGACUGUAAAGUUUAUACGUAUUGACGAUGUCCUGAAAGCCCCAGGAGAGGGUGAGGCAGAAGAAGCUUAUUAAGAAAAUGGGCAGCACGGAGGAUUUAGAACUUACAUAUAUCACUACCGAACAGCCCAAAUCAAUAACUGAAAUAGUCUGUAUGCAUUUGUAUGAGACUGGGAGAUUAAAUUCUACCUUGGAGCUGAACUUCUCUGCUUAAUUACAAAUACAUAAAAGCCAAACAAAAGGAGUCACAGGCAACGUGAUGGAGACCUGGCUCACCGCAAGCAUUCCACAGGAGCUGUCUGCUGCCAUAAAUGUAUCUCGGGAGACCCCAUGGGCAGUUUCCUUUCUGCUUUGCACUACUGCUGUUCUCCAACGGUGUGCUCAUUUCAGAUUAAGCAAGGCAAGAACACCAUUCCGAUCAGUUUGGACAGCAGAGAACCUGCACAAAACCUUGUGCGUGUAGGAGUGGGCUAGGAGUGAUACAGGGAAGAAUUUGUGGUAUUAUUAAAACAUUAGAAAUGCCUGUGUGCAAAAAAAUGUAGAACUAGCCAAAUAACCCAACACUCUGCUAUCUCAUAUCAUCAGAGUUGAAUUGUGACCAGUUACACUGAUGGUGGUCAUUGACCUUUUUUUGGUCUGUGGAUCCUCACUAUUCUCCAGUGCAGACUGAGCCUCCUUGAUUCUGACUGGAAGCCUACCUGCAAUAGUUGGUACUGCUGAC